GAAUGAACACAAACCCAUUUAUGUUUGUAUAUUAUAUGAUUUGUCUACACUUAUGAUUAAUUUCAAACAUUUUGAUGCAGGUCGGAGAAUAUCAGGAGACUUAUAAGGUUAGAUAACCAAAAGGCUUUUGGAGAAAUAUGGUUCUGAGAGGGUUCUUGAUACCCCAAUCACAGAGGAGGUAAAAUGCAGAACAUUUGUUAACCAAGUCACUUAUUUCGGACUAAAAAAAAGGCUGCGAGAACCGGUGACUUAGAGCUUUUUCGUCGCGACUUGGAGCUUUCUCAAACUGUUAUUGGGAAGUUUUUGGAUAGUUUUUAGAUAAGUUAGUUAAUUUAGGAAGUUGAGUUGAACUAGGAUGUUGAGUUGAACUUAUGACAAUCUAAUGAGAUUGUUUAUAUUAUUUUUGCAAAUGAUAUGAAAUAUUCAUAUAUGUAUUGUUUUGGAAA
Cucumis sativus (cucumber) is the source of this 446-nucleotide long non-coding RNA. RefSeq lists it as uncharacterized. The record is from RefSeq and is a predicted model, not a curated record. Lineage: Eukaryota; Viridiplantae; Streptophyta; Magnoliopsida; Cucurbitales; Cucurbitaceae. The transcript is spliced from 4 exons.